RNAcentral lists this unclassified non-coding RNA (246 nucleotides) under Hevea brasiliensis (rubber tree). Lineage: Eukaryota; Viridiplantae; Streptophyta; Magnoliopsida; Malpighiales; Euphorbiaceae. The record is from RNAcentral.
AUAAAACACACGUACUUGUUAAUUCAGAACUUUAAAAUAAUAAUAAUAACAAAUGUUAUAAGAUUUAGUUAAUUAUACAGAUGCAGUGGUUUGAUUUUGUCGUUCAUUCAAGGAAUUUCUGGGAAAUUGCAGGGUGAGGAAAUGGAGUUGAGAUUAAGGAAUCGAAGUAGAAAUGGAAUAGGAAAAUAAGGAGCAAAAUGGAUGAAUUCAAUUUGCAAUCGACAGGUCUAAAAGAAGAAGAAGAAG